CGCGUAGGCGGUCAGCACAAGUCAGUUGUGAAAUCUCCGAGCUUAACUCGGAAAGGUCAACUGAAACUGUGCGACUAGAGUGCGGAAGGGGCAACUGGAAUUCUUGGUGUAGCGGUGAAAUGCGUAGAUAUCAAGAGGAACACCUGCGGCGAAGGCGGGUUGCUGGGCCGACACUGACGCUGAAGCGCGAAAGCCAGGGGAGCGAACG
This 208-nucleotide ribosomal RNA is filed under the name uncultured bacterium. RNAcentral's name for it is "partial 16S ribosomal RNA". It matches the Rfam family "Bacterial small subunit ribosomal RNA", at positions 568 to 774 of the family's 1533-position model. The record is from RNAcentral.